This 320-nucleotide ribosomal RNA is filed under the name uncultured eukaryote. Its description in RNAcentral is "partial 18S ribosomal RNA". It matches the Rfam family "Eukaryotic small subunit ribosomal RNA", at positions 1470 to 1796 of the family's 1831-position model. The record is from RNAcentral.
CCCCUAGAUGUUCUGGGCCGCACGCGCGCUACACUGAACAGUUCAACAAGUCUUAACCUUGGCCGAUAGGUCUGGGUGAUCUUUGAACGCUGUUCGUGAUUGGGAUAGACCUUUGCAAUUAUGGGUCUUCAACGAGGAAUUCCUAGUAAACGCAAGUCAUCAGCUUGCAUUGAUUACGUCCCUGCCCUUUGUACACACCGCCCGUCGCACCUACCGAUUGAAUGGUCCGGUGAAAUCUCGGGACGGCGGCUUGGUCGCUUGCGUCCGACUGCUGAAACUUGAUUAAACCAUAUCAUUUAGAGGAAGGUGAAGUCGUAACA